Long non-coding RNA from Conger conger (European conger), 372 nucleotides. RefSeq lists it as uncharacterized. The transcript is spliced from 3 exons. The record is from RefSeq and is a predicted model, not a curated record. Lineage: Eukaryota; Metazoa; Chordata; Actinopteri; Anguilliformes; Congridae.
CAGCAGGAGUGAUUCAUUUGAGCCAUUGAUUGGCUAAACUAAAGAGUCCACACAUCUUGUUUAUUUGGCUACUGAUCGCAAUGAAGCAACAAAGCAACAAUGAAGCCUUCACACCCCUGGUUUAGAACUCUCUGCCCCCAUAGACUGGGAACCCCGGCCACCUGAGUGACCGCUCGCCCGUGGUUACGCCCUGCACGCUCGCAGCCAUGGCAACAGCAACUCCCUGGCCUCCUUUGAUCUGGUCAACCAGAACCUGACCUGGAGUGCCAGUGGUCUUCCUGCAAGGACAAGGAAAAGCCAUAGCACAAAUCCCCUUUUUCUUAUAUUGAUUUUCUUGGCUAAAAUAAGCUGAAGUAAGCUCAGUUUUAUUAA